This 348-nucleotide long non-coding RNA is filed under the name Junco hyemalis (dark-eyed junco). Its description in RNAcentral is "lncRNA (ENSJHYG00000001929.1)". The record is from RNAcentral. Lineage: Eukaryota; Metazoa; Chordata; Aves; Passeriformes; Passerellidae.
ACUGGUUUAGGGCCUGACCUCGCUGCCGUUGGUGGAGCGGAUGGGCGCCCUGAGCCGCUUGGAUCUGGCUGGGAACGAACUGCGGGCGCUGCCGGCGCUGGGGGCGCUGCGGAGGCUGCGGGUGAGAAACCAGUAUGGACCAGUACAAACCAGUAUAGACCAGUAUAGACCAGUACAGACCAGUACAGGCCAGUACAGGCCAGUACAGGCCAGUAACCAACCCAGUUACACCAGUAACGCACCCCAGUUUGUCCCAGUAACUCCCAGUCCAUCCCAGUUUGUCCCAGUUUGUCCCAGUCCGUCCCAGUCCAUCCCAGUCCCUCCCAGUUUGAUCCCAGUCCCUCCCAG